UACGAAGGGUGCAAGCGUUACUCGGAAUUACUGGGCGUAAAGCGUGCGUAGGUGGUUCGUUAAGUCUGAUGUGAAAGCCCUGGGCUCAACCUGGGAAUGGCAUUGGAUACUGGCGACCUAGAGUGCGGUAGAGGGGUGUGGAAUUCCCGGUGUAGCAGUGAAAUGCGUAGAUAUCGGGAGGAACAUCUGUGGCGAAGGCGACACCCGGGACCAGCACUGACACUGAGGCACGAAAGCGUGGGGAGCAAACAGG
RNAcentral lists this ribosomal RNA (253 nucleotides) under uncultured bacterium. Its description in RNAcentral is "partial 16S ribosomal RNA". It matches the Rfam family "Bacterial small subunit ribosomal RNA", at positions 524 to 776 of the family's 1533-position model. The record is from RNAcentral.